GCGAUUUCCGAAUGGGGAAACCCAGUGUGAUUCGUCACACUAUCAUUAACUGAAUCCAUAGGUUAAUGAGGCGAACCGGGGGAACUGAAACAUCUAAGUACCCCGAGGAAAAGAAAUCAACCGAGAUUCCCCCAGUAGCGGCGAGCGAACGGGGAGGAGCCCAGAGCCUGAAUCAGUGUGUGUGUUAGUGGAAGCGUCUGGAAAGGCGCGCGAUACAGGGUGACAGCCCCGUACACAAAAAUGCACAUACUGUGAGCUCGAUGAGUAGGGCGGGACACGUGGUAUCCUGUCUGAAUAUGGGGGGACCAUCCUCCAAGGCUAAAUACUCCUGACUGACCGAUAGUGAACCAGUACCGUGA
Molecule: ribosomal RNA, 359 nt
Filed under: Escherichia coli
Lineage: Bacteria; Pseudomonadati; Pseudomonadota; Gammaproteobacteria; Enterobacterales; Enterobacteriaceae
Description: partial 23S ribosomal RNA
Rfam family: Bacterial large subunit ribosomal RNA
Source: RNAcentral